This 253-nucleotide ribosomal RNA is filed under the name uncultured bacterium. RNAcentral describes it as "partial 16S ribosomal RNA". It matches the Rfam family "Bacterial small subunit ribosomal RNA", at positions 524 to 776 of the family's 1533-position model. The record is from RNAcentral.
UACGUAGGGGGCAAGCGUUGUCCGGAUUUACUGGGCGUAAAGAGCGUGUAGGCGGCCAAGCAGGUCCGUUGUGAAAACUGGAGGCUUAACCUCCAGACGUCGACGGAAACCGCGUGGCUAGAGUCCGGAAGAGGAGAGUGGAAUUCCUGGUGUAGUGGUGAAAUACGUAGAUAUCAGGAGGAACACCGGUGGCGAAGGCGGCUGCCUGGCCCACAACUGACGCUGAGGUGCGAAAGCGUGGGGAGCGAACCGG